RNAcentral lists this transfer RNA (74 nucleotides) under Collybiopsis luxurians FD-317 M1. RNAcentral describes it as "tRNA-Ile (AAT) (tRNA-Ile-AAT-3-1)". It matches the Rfam family "tRNA". Rfam says of the family: Transfer RNA (tRNA) molecules are approximately 80 nucleotides in length. Their secondary structure includes four short double-helical elements and three loops (D, anti-codon, and T loops). Further hydrogen bonds mediate the characteristic L-shaped molecular structure. tRNAs have two regions of fundamental functional importance: the anti-codon, which is responsible for specific mRNA codon recognition, and the 3' end, to which the tRNAs corresponding amino acid is attached (by aminoacyl-tRNA synthetases). tRNAs cope with the degeneracy of the genetic code in two manners: having more than one tRNA (with a specific anti-codon) for a particular amino acid; and 'wobble' base-pairing, i.e. permitting non-standard base-pairing at the 3rd anti-codon position. The record is from RNAcentral. Lineage: Eukaryota; Fungi; Basidiomycota; Agaricomycetes; Agaricales; Omphalotaceae.
GGCCGACUAGCUCGGUUGGUUAGAGCGUCGUGCUAAUAACGCGAAGGUCUUGGGUUCGAUCCCCACGUUGGCCA